AGUGACAUUUAUUUGGAAACACAUAUUAAACAGCCAAAUGGAUGCACAAAAGAAAAAUUACAGUAGUGACAUGAUCGAUUGAAUACAAUUAUCAGGCAAAUUUAAUUGAUUCUGUAGCGUUUGUUUGAUUUAUGACAAACUUUUACCCAAAAUCACCAGUAUCGUAUCCAGACCCACCAGCACAAUGAAAGGACACACCAGCACAGAAUCAG
This 212-nucleotide long non-coding RNA is filed under the name Mytilus galloprovincialis (Mediterranean mussel). The record is from RNAcentral. Lineage: Eukaryota; Metazoa; Mollusca; Bivalvia; Mytilida; Mytilidae.